AAUCAACGCUGGCGGCGUGCCUAACACAUGCAAGUCGAACGCGAGAGGGGCUUCGGCCCCGAUUGAGUGGCGAACGGGUGAGUAACACGUGGGUGACCUACCUUCGAGUGGGGGAUAACGUCCCGAAAGGGACGCUAAUACCGCAUAACAUUCCGCUUUUGAACAAGUGGAAAUCAAAAGCCGGGGAUCGUAAAGACCUGGCGCUUGAAGAGGGGCCCGCGUCCGAUUAGCUAGUUGGUGAGGUAACGGCUCACCAAGGCGACGAUCGGUAGCCGGCCUGAGAGGGCGGACGGCCACACUGGGACUGAGACACGGCCCAGACUCUACGGAGGCAGCAGUGGGGAAUUGUUCGCAAUGGGCGCAAAGCCUGACG
This 373-nucleotide ribosomal RNA is filed under the name uncultured bacterium. RNAcentral's name for it is "bacterial SSU rRNA". It matches the Rfam family "Bacterial small subunit ribosomal RNA", at positions 32 to 388 of the family's 1533-position model. The record is from RNAcentral.